Molecule: ribosomal RNA, 253 nt
Filed under: uncultured bacterium
Lineage: Bacteria
Description: partial 16S ribosomal RNA
Rfam family: Bacterial small subunit ribosomal RNA
Source: RNAcentral
UACGUAGGGUGCAAGCGUUGUCCGGAAUUAUUGGGCGUAAAGAGCUCGUAGGCGGCUUGUUGCGUCGGCUGUGAAAUCCCGGGGCUUAACUCCGGGCGUGCAGCCGAUACGGGCAGGCUAGAGUCCGGUAGGGGAGACUGGAAUUCCCGGUGUAGCGGUGAAAUGCGCAGAUAUCAGGAGGAACACCGGUGGCGAAGGCGGGUCUCUGGGCCGGUACUGACGCUAAGGAGCGAAAGCGUGGGGAGCGAACAGG